AGCCAAAGCUAAUGGGUUCCUCCGCUCUAUGACCUCACUAGUACAACCAACUCGUAUCCCUUCUAAAGGCUUAUUAAGCAUUUUCCAGAACCGAUCCGAACCUUUCUCUCGACUUUGCACAUUAGGCCUGAUUUCUGGUACAAGUAAUCCAUUCCACACUUCACGGGCUUCACCUCCAGAACCCCAGGGCUGGGCAUUGAUUACAGUACCA
Molecule: unclassified non-coding RNA, 211 nt
Filed under: Hevea brasiliensis (rubber tree)
Lineage: Eukaryota; Viridiplantae; Streptophyta; Magnoliopsida; Malpighiales; Euphorbiaceae
Source: RNAcentral